Molecule: ribosomal RNA, 254 nt
Filed under: uncultured bacterium
Lineage: Bacteria
Description: partial 16S ribosomal RNA
Rfam family: Bacterial small subunit ribosomal RNA
Source: RNAcentral
UACGUAGGGUGCGAGCGUUAAUCGGAAUUACUGGGCGUAAAGCGUGCGCAGGCGGUCUGUUAAGACCGAUGUGAAAUCCCCGGGCUUAACCUGGGAACUGCAUUGGUGACUGGCAGGCUUUGAGUGUGGCAGAGGGAGGUAGAAUUCCACGUGUAGCAGUGAAAUGCGUAGAGAUGUGGAGGAAUACCGAUGGCGAAGGCAGCCUCCUGGGCCAACUCUGACGCUCAUGCACGAAAGCGUGGGGAGCAAACAGG